This 463-nucleotide ribosomal RNA is filed under the name uncultured bacterium. Its description in RNAcentral is "partial 16S ribosomal RNA". It matches the Rfam family "Bacterial small subunit ribosomal RNA", at positions 29 to 507 of the family's 1533-position model. The record is from RNAcentral.
ACGAACGCUGGCGGCGUGCUUCACCCAUGCCAGUCGUACGGUAAGGCCCUUUCGGGGGUACCCGAGUGGCGACCGGGUGAGUAACACGUGAGUAACCUGCCCACAACUUUGGGAUAACGCUAGGAAACUGUGCUAAUACUGGAUAUGUGCUCCUGCUGCAUUGUGGGGGUUGGAAAGCUCCGGCGGUUGUGGAUGGACUCGCGGCCUAUCAGCUUGUUGGUGGGGUAGUGGCCUACCAAGGCGGCGACGGGUAGCCGGCCUGAGAGGGUGACCGGCCACAUUGGGACUGAGAUACGGCCCAGACUCCUACGGGAGGCAGCAGGGGGGAAUAUUGCACAAUGGGCGCAAGCCUGAUGCAGCAACGCCGCGUGCGGGAGGACGGCCUUCGGGUUGUAAACCGCUUUCAGCAGGGACGAAGCUUUUUGUGACGGUACCUGCAGAAGAAGCACCGGCUAACUACGUG